Oncorhynchus keta (chum salmon) is the source of this 1150-nucleotide long non-coding RNA. RefSeq lists it as uncharacterized. Lineage: Eukaryota; Metazoa; Chordata; Actinopteri; Salmoniformes; Salmonidae. The transcript is spliced from 3 exons. The record is from RefSeq and is a predicted model, not a curated record.
UGAAAAUAACUCAUCAUCAUGAUCAUCAGCCAUAGAGCUUUUGUGUCGACAGCAACGUGACCACUGUGACAGUAAGGUGACCACUGUGACAGCAACGUGACCACUGUGACAGUAAGGUGACCACUGUGACAGUAAGGUGACCACUGUGACAGUAAGGUGACCACUGUGACAGUAAGGUGACCACUGUGACAGUAAGGUGACCACUGUGACAGUAAGGUGACCACUGUGACAGUAAGGUGACCACUGUGACAGUAAGGUGACCACUGUGACAGUAAGGUGACCACUGUGACAGUAAGGUGACCACUGUGACAACAACGUCACCACUGUGACAGUAAGGUGACCACUGUGACAGUAAGGUGACCACUGUGACAGUAAGGUGACCACUGUGACAACAACGUCACCACUGUGACAGUAAGGUGACCACUGUGACAGAAAGGUGACCACUGUGACAGCAACGUAACCACUGUGACAGUAAGGUGACCACUGUGACAGUAAGGUGACCACUGUGACAGUAAGGUGACCACUGUGACAGUAAGGUGACCACUGUGACAGUAAGGUGACCACUGUGACAACAACGUCACCACUGUGACAGUAAGGUGACCACUGUGACAGAAAGGUGACCACUGUGACAGCAACGUAACCACUGUGACAGUAAGGUGACCACUGUGACAGUAAGGUGACCACUGUGACAGUAAGGUGACCACUGUGACAGUAAGGUGACCACUGUGACAACAACGUCACCACUGUGACAGUAAGGUGACCACUGUGACAGUAAGGUGACCACUGUGACAGUAAGGUGACCACUGUGACAACAACGUCACCACUGUGACAGUAAGGUGACCACUGUGACAGAAAGGUGACCACUGUGACAGCAACGUAACCACUGUGACAGUAAGGUGACCACUGUGACAGUAAGGUGACCACUGUGACAGUAAGGUGACCACUGUGACAGUAAGGUGACCACUGUGACAGUAACGUGACCACUGUGACAGUAACGUGACCACUGUGACAGUAACGUGACCACUGUGACAGCAACGUGACCACUGUGACAGCAACGUGACCACUGUGACAGCAACGUGACCACUGUGACAGUAACGUGACCACUGUGACAGUAACGUGACCACUGUGACAACAACGUGACCACUGUGAC